This is an RNA transcript of Scatophagus argus, 1647 nucleotides long. It is a transcript of the gene named keratin, type I cytoskeletal 18-like, with no coding region annotated. Lineage: Eukaryota; Metazoa; Chordata; Actinopteri; Scatophagidae. The transcript is spliced from 7 exons. The record is from RefSeq and is a predicted model, not a curated record.
CCCCUGCCAGCGUCACUUUCUGAGCCGCCCAGCAGUGAGUCUCCGCAUCUCAUCUUCCACCUCAUUCUCUGCCGUGUCUAAACGUCUCAAAAAUGAACGUCAGAAGAUCCAACGUGCAGAUUCGCUCCACACCUCAGCACUAUUCUGCCAGCAUUUAUGGUGGUGCUGGUGGACAGAAUACCCGCAUUUCCUCUAUCUCCACAUCUUCCCUAAGGUCUGGUCCACCAAUGACCUCUUCUUCCUCUGUCUUCAAACUGAGCAGUGGGAUUGGUGGUGUAGGUUCUGGUCUUAGUGGUGCGGGUGCAUCAGCGGCGACAGGUGGUGCCGGUGCCGGUGCCAGUGCUAGGAUCAUGGGCAACGAGAGAGGAGAAAUGCAGAACCUGAACAACCGCCUGGCCAACUACCUGGAGACGGUGAGGAACCUGGAACAGGCCAACGACGAGCUGGAGAUGAAGAUCAGGGAGGCUCUGGAGAAAGGAGGGCCUGACAUGAAAGACUACAGCAAGUAUGAGCCCAUCAUAGAUGACCUUCGCAAACAGAUCUUUGAUAAGAUUGCAGAAAACGCUCGUUUUGUGCUGCAAAUCGACAACGCUCGUCUGGCUGCGGAUGACUUCAAAGUAAAGUUCGACAAUGAAAUGGCAAUCCGGCAGUCUGUGGAGGCCGACAUUGCUGGGCUGAAGAGAGUCAUAGAUGACACCAAUAUGACCAGAAUGAACAUCGAGAGCGAGAUUGAAGCUGUGAGGGAGGAGCUUGCCUUCCUAAAGAAAAACCACGAGAACGAGGUGAUGGAGCUGAGGAACCAGAUCUCCCAGUCAGGCGUGCAAGUAGAUGUUGAUGCUCCCAAAGGUCAGGACCUGUCCCAGAUCAUGGAAGAAAUGAGGGCCAACUAUGAGAAAAUUGCUGUGAAGAAUGCAGAAGACCUCAAACGAUGGCAUGAAAAUCAGAUUGCGGAAGUGCAGGUGCAGGUAUCACAGAACACAGAAGCUCUCCAAGGAGCCCAGAUGGAGAUAGGUGACUUGUCCAGACAGAUCCAGACCCUGGAAAUUGAACUUGCGUCCCAGCAGAGCUUAAAAGCCUCCUUAGAGGACACAUUACGUAACACAGAGCUACGAAACAACAUGGAAAUGGAGAAGUACAACGCCAUCAUUAUCCGCCUGGAGGAGGAGCUGACCAAAUUGCGCGCAAACAUCCAGCAACAGACCCAAGAGUAUGAGGCGCUGCUCAACAUGAAGAUGAAACUAGAGGCCGAGAUUGGCACCUACAAGGGUCUGCUGGAUGGUGGAGACUUCAAGUAAGGCUUAUAAAGAGGUGGAGGACAAAAAAAACAGAUCGAGGAAAGGUGAUGAUGGUGGUGGAGGCUCCAGGAUGCACUGGAUGAGCUGGUGGCAAUCUAAUUUGGAACAAAGAAUCUGGGCCCACCCCAACAGUGAGAGCAGAACAACCAGCAACUAUUCAUUAUGGAAAAAAUUCCAUGCUGAGCCAAUCAACUAAAGCCAGUUUUGAAUCAUGACCACAUGCUGUUUAAAUGAAUAAAGUAAUUCUUAAUAAAGGCAUUCGACUGCAACAAAGUGAAACAGGGCUGUUUCAGAAACAACCACUGCCUGAUCUGACAGCAAAAGAAAGAUGAAUAAAACUUAUCAACCCUCA